Molecule: long non-coding RNA, 225 nt
Filed under: Lathyrus oleraceus (garden pea)
Lineage: Eukaryota; Viridiplantae; Streptophyta; Magnoliopsida; Fabales; Fabaceae
Description: Pisum sativum (pea) long non-coding RNA (PSAT_LNC021969)
Source: RNAcentral
CAAAAGAGCACAAAAAUAAAAAUAAACGAAGAAAGUACUAAUAACUUAAAUUUAAAUUUAUAUGUAUAUUUAAAUAUUAGAAAAAUAUUGACAAAUUACUUUUACAUUUCAUUAGUUGUACAUAUAUAUCUUCCGAUCGUGGAAUCAAAAUAAAAUUUAAUAAGAGUUUAAUGAAUAUGCAUUGACAAUAUAAAAUAGUUUAAACUUUUAUCCAAUAGAAACUCA